This 552-nucleotide ribosomal RNA is filed under the name Aureobasidium pullulans. Its description in RNAcentral is "partial large subunit ribosomal RNA". It matches the Rfam family "Eukaryotic large subunit ribosomal RNA", at positions 69 to 635 of the family's 3401-position model. Lineage: Eukaryota; Fungi; Ascomycota; Dothideomycetes; Dothideales; Saccotheciaceae. The record is from RNAcentral.
AGGGAAUUGCCCUAGUAACGGCGAGUGAAGCGGCAACAGCUCAAAUUUGAAAGCUGGCCUUCGGGUCCGCAUUGUAAUUUGUAGAGGAUGCUUUGGGUGAAACGCCAGUCUAAGUUCCUUGGAACAGGACGUCAUAGAGGGUGAGAAUCCCGUAUGUGACUGGAAAUGUUAACCUAUGUAAAGCUCCUUCGACGAGUCGAGUUGUUUGGGAAUGCAGCUCUAAAUGGGAGGUAAAUUUCUUCUAAAGCUAAAUAUUGGCGAGAGACCGAUAGCGCACAAGUAGAGUGAUCGAAAGAUGAAAAGCACUUUGGAAAGAGAGUUAAAAAGCACGUGAAAUUGUUGAAAGGGAAGCGCUUGCAAUCAGGACUUGUUUAAACUGUUCGGCCGGUCUUCUGACCGGUUUACUCAGUUUGGACAGGCCAGCAUCAGUUUCGGCGGCCGGAUAAAGGCUCUGGGAAUGUGGCCUUCACUUCGGUGAAGGUGUUAUAGCCCAGGGUGUAAUACGGCCAGCCGGGACUGAGGUCCGCGCUUCGGCUAGGAUGCUGGCGUACA